UUAUGUAGGUUUGUUAGUUCUUUCGAGAGAUCGUGAUUUCGUUCGUUCCGGGCGCGCCGCGGUUUUUCUUUCAUCGUCUGAUUGUUGGGGCUUCCUUUCCGUAGUAGCCUCAUAUUGUUUCUUUCGUUCCAAGUUAGACAAAUGUGUCUUUGAUACCGAAUGCGGCCAGUAGGGUUGCGAAUUAUUGUACUGAUCGAUGUAAUCGUUGUGUGGGAGAUAGGUGGUGUGUUAUGUAUGUUGUUUUACGUUUGUAAGGAUUUAUGUAAGCGCUGCGUUCGAGAUAUGUGUUUCGCAGUUAGGCUACGAAAUAACUAUCUCUUUACGCAGGCCCAUGAUCAAGUAGAGUCAGAACUCGACAUUCUUGCCAAUAGGUUGAAUGUCGAGACCCAUGCAUAAUGUUGAAUAACUCAUGGGCGGGUCUCGUGCGUAGUCACCUCCUCGUGGUGAGACCUGGUAAUUGGCAUCGUUUUCCAAAAAUUAAUCAGCUGAUUAAUCUUUGGAAAACGAUACCAAGCCAAGAACUACGCAACAGUCCAGUUUGGAUCACCAAAAGCCGCGAAAAGAAUUUUGGAUGAUCUAGACUGGACUGCACCGUGGGACACCGUUGAAGAGCGUUGGACACCGUUGGACACUGUUGAACACCUUUGGACAUCGUGGGACACUGUUGAACACCGUUGGACAUCGUGGGGCGCGGUGGGACAUCGUGGGACACCGUGGGAUACCGUGGGAUACCGUGGGAUGCGUACGUUUUAGUCUUCAUUAAUCGUAAGGUAGAUACCUGUGUUAAGUGCAUUGUGAGCUUAUUCUGUACAACGAUAUUUAUCCACCUUGGAACGAAAAAAGAAAAA
Molecule: long non-coding RNA, 848 nt
Organism: Bombus huntii
Lineage: Eukaryota; Metazoa; Arthropoda; Insecta; Hymenoptera; Apidae
Exons: 2
Source: RefSeq, a predicted model, not a curated record